UGUCCAGAAACCAAUGUGUUAUCGCACGAUGCAGACGACUCAUACAACGACAACAUCAUACUAUUAUAAAUCAAAAAAAAAGUUUUGUGGUUGUUUAAAAACACAAUCCAUAAUAUUGUUGCAUAAUCUCCCAUCCCCUUAAAAUAUGGAUCAUCUCAUUUUAUCACAAUCACUGGUUUGCAAUAAGGACUGGUACCUUUAUUAUUUUUUUUUUAUUUUUUUUUUUUUAAAUUUGACAACAACAACAAAAUGUGUACAAAAGUUUAACAGUUUAACAGGUUUUCUCUUAAACAAUAGCUUAAAAAGACCCAUAUUAUUUAUUUUAAAGAUUUUAU
This 335-nucleotide long non-coding RNA is filed under the name Mytilus galloprovincialis (Mediterranean mussel). The record is from RNAcentral. Lineage: Eukaryota; Metazoa; Mollusca; Bivalvia; Mytilida; Mytilidae.